Molecule: ribosomal RNA, 249 nt
Filed under: uncultured bacterium
Lineage: Bacteria
Description: partial 16S ribosomal RNA
Rfam family: Bacterial small subunit ribosomal RNA
Source: RNAcentral
UAUGCCGGCGACCGGCGCACGGGUGAGUAACACGUAUCCAACCUGCCGAUAACUCGGGGAUAGCCUUUCGAAAGAAAGAUUAAUACCCGAUGGUAUAAUCAGACCGCAUGGUCUUGUUAUUAAAGAAUUUCGGUUAUCGAUGGGGAUGCGUUCCAUUAGGCAGUUGGUGAGGUAACGGCUCACCAAACCUUCGAUGGAUAGGGGUUCUGAGAGGAAGGUCCCCCACAUUGGAACUGAGACACGGUCCAA